GGCCUACCAUGGUGGUAACGGGUAACGGGGUGUUAGGGCACGACACCGGAGAGGGAGCCUGAGAAACGGCUACCACAUCCAAGGAUGGCAGCAGGCGCGCAAAUUACCCAAUCCCGACACGGGGAGGUAGUGACAAUAAAUAACAAUACGGGGUCCUUUCGGGUCUCGUAAUUGGAAUGAGUACAAUUUAAAUCUCUUAACGAGGAACAAUUGGAGGGCAAGUCUGGUGCCAGCAGCCGCGGUAAUUCCAGCUCCAAUAGCGUAUAUUAAAGUUGUUGCAGUUAAAAAGCUCGUAGUUGAAUUUCGGGAUCAUCAUGUCGGUCGUGCCUCCGGUACGUACUGGCAUCGUUGAUUUCUACCUUCUGACGAACCAUGAUGUCAUUAAUUUGGUGUCAUGGGGAAUCAGGACUGUUACUUUGAAAAAAUUAGAGUGUUUAAAGCAGGCACACGCUUGAAUACAUUAGCAUGGAAUAAUGAAAUAGGACGUUUGACCCUAUUUUGUUGGUUUCUAGGAUCGACGUAAUGAUUAAUAGGGAUAGUUGGGGGCAUUAGUAUUCAAUUGUCAGAGGUGAAAUUCUUGGAUUUAUUGAAGACUAACUACUGCGAAAGCAUUUGCCAAGGAUGUUUUCAUUAAUCAAGAACGAAAGUUAGGGGAUCGAAGACGAUCAGAUACCGUCGUAGUCUUAACCAUAAACUAUGCCGACUAGGGAUCGGAUGAUGUUAAUUUUUUAAUGACUCAUUCGGCGCCUUACG
Molecule: ribosomal RNA, 753 nt
Filed under: Glomus sp.
Lineage: Eukaryota; Fungi; Glomeromycota; Glomeromycetes; Glomerales; Glomeraceae
Description: SSU rRNA
Rfam family: Eukaryotic small subunit ribosomal RNA
Source: RNAcentral